UGCUGAUUCAAUACGUAAGUGCUCAUUUGAACUAAUGGCAUAAGAGAGAUUUCUGUUAUUGGAUUACUUUGGUUUGCAUUAUUAAUGUGGCAACAUUACAUCCAGAUAAACCAGCAAUUAGCUGUUUCCAAUCACGUAAUUGUUAAUCUUUUCCUAAAAGAUGGGAAGUAGCAUGCGGACUCCUCUCUUGACUGCUGGAGAGAGCAAUAGCAGAACACGGAGCAUUUUUAAUCUUUUGUAUCCAGCAUUUAUGUACUUACAAUAAAAACAAAGCACCAUUUACAAAUCCUAUGUCAUCUACUGAAACUUGUAAAAUUUGGGAACUAAGUAAGUUAGGUGUUUUUUUUUUUUUCAAAGCAAUUGAGAGUUAUUCUUGUUAUGACUGCUUCCUGUUCCUGUGCUGAAUUAAGCUGGGACAGCAGCAGUGUGGUUGGUAGGGCUCAUUUCCCCACUUCCCCUCCUCCAGUUUAAUUUACAAGCUGCUGGACAUUGUCCAACAGGAAAUCCAGUCUUAUUGAGAAAACCAUCAGAAGUUGCAGAAGAUACUGGCUUUAAAUUAUAGUGUGGUUUCAAAUGAGAUCUAGAAAUGUUUCCAGGAACCCAGACAAGAGUUGGUCCCUCCUCAUGCCAGUUUUUGGCAAAGCUGAACCGCUUGGCACACCUUCCCAGAGCAGCCCAUGGACGGGACCCCAUGUGGGUGGCCAGGGAACCAACCUGCAGAAAACCUUGCAGAACCAGGUGAGCCCGGUCACCCCAACAUUUCCUGAGUCCGUCUGCUUAGGUCCUGAUCUGUGGGAUUUUCUACAUCUCAAGAUAGAAGCAUGAGGUGCUGCCAGCCUGGUCCCAUGCUGCAAGACCCCUGUGAGCACAGCGUGCCCGUGCCGUAGCACCAGUACUGCCACAUCAGACCUUGGAGCAGUCUGAAACUGCAACAGAGAUGCUGUGUGUCUGCAGACAGGCACAGAGAAAGGGUGAAAUGUCCCUUCUUUGUCUCUUUCCGCUGAAGAGAAAAAGUGAACAAGAAUUGAAAUUCCUGGGAGGAAACAAAGUAACCCUACCUGGUGGACCAUGGUUUUUUUAUACAGGAUAAAUCAUCUGACAUAUGUAGGGAAACCACUCUGGAGUGCCUCUGCUGACUGUGCAGGAAUAUGAUCCUGCAGGGCUAUAUAUAUGGUGUCUGCUCCAAGACCUGUCAGAUACUGGAAAUGCAGACAGAUAUAGUACUGUUGCUGCACUGACAGAGAGAAAUCAGAGGUUCAACAGCUCCACGGAUGACACUGUAGUUAAAAGGGAUAAAAAUAUUAAAAAAAAAAUGUUCAGAAGGUAUCAGUUUACAGUGAGCUCAAGUCUCCAAUUUGUAGAGAGUUGUUUGCUCUUAGAGAUGAUGGUAUGCUGCUCCCAGCAAACCUAAGUAAACAUUUUUUUACCAAGCCAGAAUGUUUUUCCUACAGCUACCUCAGGCAUACAGAAGCUCUUAGCUUCAGUUCAGAAGAGUAUUUUACUAGAGGAUUCACAUAAGGAAAAUGAAGCUCUAGGACCUGAUCCUAUAAAUCUCAUCAGUCAAAGGAAAGCAGGAAAGCAUAAAUGUUAAGCUACUGUGGAGAUAAAAGCCAGACAAGACACGAGGCCAGAUGUGGAAGAAAGAAAGUCCAACUUCAUAAUCACGUUGGUGGCAUUUUGUUUUGAUUUUUCUGUUUUUUAAUACCAUAUCCAUAAAAUGCACUCAGAGUGCACCCUUUCCAGAAACUCAGAGAUUUAUGUGCUUCAGCAGCUACUGAUCUAGUGUGACUGAAACAUCGUGAAAUAAAAAUGUUCUGGGUAAUCCAACUGAAUGCAAUUCGUAUAACAAAAAAAAAAUUAAAGUGAUGUUUGCAUCUGAGCAAGUUUGCAUAGCCAAGAUUACUUGACCUGUUGUUAAGCUUUGUGCUUCAGUGCUUUUCUGGGAAACACUGUCAGCUUUUUAAACUGAAAGGCUGCAGGUCAGACGGGAAAGCUCGUAACCCUUCUCUGAUUUCCGUGGGGAAGAGCAGAGCUGAGGAUCAGACUUCAGGGUACAGGAAUGCAAAGACUUGGAACUGUGCACAGCUCAGAGGGCUGACUGAGCCUGCCUUGCAGGUCUCUGUGCUUGGCACACACGGGUCUGUGUGGCUCCUUGCAGCACUGAGUACUGCAAUUCCCCCAGCAGUGUAAUAACCAACCUGGGGAGAGCAUGUUGAGCGAUGCACCCGCUUUCUGCAUUGAGGUUUGGGGCUCAUUUUGCAAGGCAACACCAGCUUCUGGCUUUCAAAGAGUGAUGUUCUACAGAAGCUACUUCUUGAGGAAAGGAGAAGGUCCCAAGUAUCCCCAGUCGCUAGAAGGUUGGGAGGAAUUGGCUUAAGAUGUUUCUGCCAAAAAUAUCAGCUGUGCCUGGCCGGGUCUGCUCAUGCCUGGCAGACGCGCAUGCGUAUGUCGCAGUAACCAGAAGGAAAUGUUACUCAGCUCCGUUUUCCUGAGGGUCUGUGGCACAGAGGUAUCCGUGCUGUCCCACAGAGAGAGGCUUCGAUAGAGACAGCGAGCCAGUGCUGGCAGCAGCAGCAUGAUGCUGUGCAGAGGGGAGAAAAGGGACAAGCAUGUCCAAAGAAACCUCCUGUUGGAUCUCUUGAAUCUCCCGUAGUGGGACUGACCUCCUGCAGCGAUUGAGAAGAUGAGUUUGGAGCAUUUUCUAGGAACAGGCCUUUCCAGGAACAGGCUGUUACUGAGUAACAAAGAGCAACUGUGGUCUGAAGGCAGUGCUGGAACAAGCGACAUCUGCAAAGGAGACUUGAGUCUUUCCUUGCUCUUUGUUCUGGCAGUCCAGGCACUGCAGCCUUUUUUGUGUGGACCUUUGCACUGUAAAUAGCUCUGUGAGGGAGCUGCUCCCAUAGCCAUUUCCUCUCCUGCUCCAAAUACCCAUGAUGCCUGCCAAAGCAUGAAGGACGUCAGAGCCGGAUAUAUGAUCAUUUCCAGUUUCUGUUUUGUAUUGCUUUCGAAUUCUUCAGGAAGCUCAGAGCAGCUCUGCCACAGGCCCUUGCAAGCUCCACGGCUGGCAGGGGGGCAGCUCUCAGCUAUGGGUAUGUGACCCACGAUAGUUAAUGUUGCAGGGAUGGCAAAGUGGUGAAGAAAGUGUUGUCUGGGUCCAAAACUGGGAGAUUGAAUGGAGGCUGAAGCACAGCAGCAAGCAAAGAAAAAUCCUGUGAAUUGGAAUUAUUGGUGGCCACCUGUUUCAGCUUCUUCUCUUUGUAGGUAAUGUGUCUCUAGGGUAGAGCGCAGAGCAGAGACUUUGCUGGUAAGUAACGAUAUCCCCCCCCUCUAAGGAAUUUGACCUUGGCUGGCUGUCCGACACCAAGCUAGCUGCUGUCUCACUCCCCAUUCUCAGCAUGACAGGAGAGAGAAAAUAAGAUGGA
Empidonax traillii (willow flycatcher) is the source of this 3422-nucleotide long non-coding RNA. RefSeq lists it as uncharacterized. Lineage: Eukaryota; Metazoa; Chordata; Aves; Passeriformes; Tyrannidae. The record is from RefSeq and is a predicted model, not a curated record. The transcript is spliced from 3 exons.